This 305-nucleotide ribosomal RNA is filed under the name uncultured bacterium. Its description in RNAcentral is "bacterial SSU rRNA". It matches the Rfam family "Bacterial small subunit ribosomal RNA", at positions 333 to 655 of the family's 1533-position model. The record is from RNAcentral.
CUUUACCUACGGGGGGCAGCAGUGGGGGAUAUUGCACAAUGGGGGAAACCCUGAUGCAGCGACGCCGCGUGAGUGAAGAAGUAUUUCGGUAUGUAAAGCUCUAUCAGCAGGGAAGAAAAUGACAGUACCUGACCAAGAAGCCCCGGCUAACUACGUGCCAGCAGCCGCGGUAAUACGUAGGGGGCAAGCGUUAUCCGGAUUUACUGGGUGUGAAGGGAGCGCAGACGGCAGUGCAAGUCUGGAGUGAAAGCCCGGGGCCCAACCCCGGAACUGCUCUGGAAACUGUGCGGCUAGAGUACUGGAGG